UUUUUUUUUUUUUUUUUUUGGGUCUUUUUUUCGGAGCUGGGGACCGAACCCAGGGCCUUGCACUUCCUAGGUAAGCGCUCUACCACUGAGCUAAAUCCCCAGCCCCAUGGUCAACCUUUUGACAGUGAGACAAAGUCAUUACAAAGAUAUCACCUACAGCGUUCAUGUGAAUUACACGUUUUGAUUUACAAGGGAAAAAUAUCACAAAAUAAGUGGUAAGUGAGCCACUCUUCAGAUUCUGUGUUCAGACAGAAAACAAAAAUACAAAAAACCUCAGCUCCAGGCACUGUUGCCAGGCACUGCCAAGACUCCUCCCCUCACUGCUCCUCCUGUGCAUCCUUCAGACCUCAGCUCUGUGUCACUGAUCUGCUCUCCGCACAGCAACACUUCCGGAGUGUACCUUUGCUUCUGAUGAACUAAGGGAAUGAAUGGACUCCCUAGAAGCCUCAGAGAAGGCUUCCCUGCACCUGCAGAGAAGACUGGAACAGAGAAAUGAGAGAAGACACCGGUUUCCACUGUGUUUAUUACUAAUAUAAAAAAAAUUAAAAAGAAAACAAAAUCAUUCUUAGUUCUAGCGCUCUCUCUCCUCUUGCACACAUACCUCCUGACCCACUUCCUUAGGGCCUGUUCAAAACCCAACAUGUUCACUGCUGUUUUCACAGAAAACACCCAGUGUGAGGGAAGUAAGAGGGUCAGAGAGGUGACAGACAGUACUGUUCAGGUUCCAUCCAGAGACAGGCGGAGAUUCACAAAGUCAAAUCAAAGGGCUGGUGGCCUCACAAUGACAGCCUAACUAAAACGGGUCAGGCAGGAGCUGUGUUGGGAGGCCCGUCGGAAGCUUUCCAAGACAUCAC
Molecule: long non-coding RNA, 854 nt
Filed under: Rattus norvegicus (Norway rat)
Lineage: Eukaryota; Metazoa; Chordata; Mammalia; Rodentia; Muridae
Description: long non-coding RNA NONRATT017511
Source: RNAcentral